Molecule: ribosomal RNA, 428 nt
Filed under: uncultured bacterium
Lineage: Bacteria
Description: bacterial SSU rRNA
Rfam family: Bacterial small subunit ribosomal RNA
Source: RNAcentral
UAGGGAAUCUUCCACAAUGGACGAAAGUCUGAUGGAGCAACGCCGCGUGAGUGAAGAAGGUUUUCGGAUCGUAAAGCUCUGUUGUUGGUGAAGAAGGAUAGAGGUAGUAACUGGCCUUUAUUUGACGGUAAUCAACCAGAAAGUCACGGCUAACUACGUGCCAGCAGCCGCGGUAAUACGUAGGUGGCAAGCGUUGUCCGGAUUUAUUGGGCGUAAAGCGAGCGCAGGCGGAAGAAUAAGUCUGAUGUGAAAGCCCUCGGCUUAACCGAGGAACUGCAUCGGAAACUGUUUUUCUUGAGUGCAGAAGAGGAGAGUGGAACUCCAUGUGUAGCGGUGGAAUGCGUAGAUAUAUGGAAGAACACCAGUGGCGAAGGCGGCUCUCUGGUCUGCAACUGACGCUGAGGCUCGAAAGCAUGGGUAGCGAACAG